GCAUCACGCCCGUAGUGUAUAUACUUUACACACCAGUGAUACACUUUUUCUUCGUUGUUACAGCACAUCGGAUAAACUAUUGGGGAUUUUGUCUGUUUGGCGCAGCGUUGGCAAACUUCCGCUUUCAUGUCAUAAUAAAUGCAAGGAUUGUUGUGUAUGUCCCAUUCUUGCCCCGGCCGUAAUGGCCACUCUGCGUUGAUACCACUGCUU
This 210-nucleotide long non-coding RNA is filed under the name Phoenix dactylifera (date palm). Its description in RNAcentral is "long non-coding RNA (PDAC_LNC019413)". The record is from RNAcentral. Lineage: Eukaryota; Viridiplantae; Streptophyta; Magnoliopsida; Arecales; Arecaceae.